Molecule: unclassified non-coding RNA, 111 nt
Organism: Rhinopithecus bieti (black snub-nosed monkey)
Lineage: Eukaryota; Metazoa; Chordata; Mammalia; Primates; Cercopithecidae
Rfam family: Y RNA
About the family: Y RNAs are components of the Ro ribonucleoprotein particle (Ro RNP), in association with Ro60 and La proteins. The Y RNAs and Ro60 and La proteins are well conserved, but the function of the Ro RNP is not known.
Source: Ensembl
GGCUGGUCUGAAGGUAGUGAGUUAUAUCAGUUGAUUGUUCAGUCACUUGCAGAUCAAAUUCCUUGUUCUACUCUUUACCCCCUUCUUACUGCUGCACUUGACUAUUCGAAA